GGGCACCAAGUACACCAGGAAAAUAAUGCCUGAUGGCCCCUUAAAAAAUGGUUCAUGAUGCCCAUGUCAUGAGGUUUUCUAAUGGAAGUGAGGUGAAGGAGAGCGAGGAGGAAGAGAGGGUAAAGGCGAGUUUAGCUUGCAUAGCAGGCUCUUCCUCUAUCAUGGACUAUCAGCUAGAUGGUUGAUCGAACAAGUGCCAACCAUAUUGGCAGGAUAUUUAUGAUUGACAUCUGGAUGAAAACCAGGUUUGAUUUUUUUUUUUUUUUUUUUUUUUUUUUUAAUAUAAAUAUAUUCAAGUCUUAUUUGCUACUGUUAUGUUAAUAGAAUCACAAAUACAUGGAAUUCCAAAAACAUCCAGUAUGUUUUGUUUUCUUUUAAUUAUUAUUAAUCAGCAAUGGCUAAAAAAAAAAAACUACUUGAAACAUAUUUUAUAAUUCUUUGUAUAAUUUUUGUUUAAAUUUUAUAUGUUUUGGCAAAUUGAUGGCAAAUUUGUAUGAAUUUGAACAAUCUCAUUAGUACGUUUUUGUACG
This is a long non-coding RNA of Ctenopharyngodon idella (grass carp), 530 nucleotides long. RefSeq lists it as uncharacterized. The record is from RefSeq and is a predicted model, not a curated record. Lineage: Eukaryota; Metazoa; Chordata; Actinopteri; Cypriniformes; Xenocyprididae. The transcript is spliced from 3 exons.